CAAAAGUAAAAUUUUUAAAGGAUAGAAAAGGAGGAGGUGUGAGAAGUUUGAAGAGAAAGAAAAAAUAGUGUGCAUCAGUCACCUAGCUUAGAGAGACUGCCAUGAUAAUCAACCACCUCUGCUUAUUGAAAUAGACUGUAGAGACUUU
Perognathus longimembris pacificus (Pacific pocket mouse) is the source of this 148-nucleotide long non-coding RNA. RefSeq lists it as uncharacterized. The record is from RefSeq and is a predicted model, not a curated record. NCBI's taxonomy places the organism in Eukaryota, Metazoa, Chordata, Mammalia, Rodentia, Heteromyidae. The transcript is spliced from 2 exons.